RNAcentral lists this ribosomal RNA (279 nucleotides) under uncultured bacterium. RNAcentral's name for it is "partial 16S ribosomal RNA". It matches the Rfam family "Bacterial small subunit ribosomal RNA", at positions 506 to 784 of the family's 1533-position model. The record is from RNAcentral.
UGCCAGCCGCCGCGGUAAGACGAAGGUGGCAAACGUUGCUCGGAAUUACUGGGCAUAAAGAGCGCGUAGGUGGCGUGGUCAGCGAGUGAUGAAAUCCCAUGGCUCACCCAUGGAACUGUUGCUCGAACUGCCAUGCUUGAGGACGGGAGGGGAAGGUGGAAUUCCUGGUGUAGCGGUGAAAUGCGUAGAUAUCAGGAGGAACACCGGUGGCGAAAGCGACCUUCUGGCCCGUUCCUGACACUGAGGCGCGAAAGCUAGGGGAGCAAACAGGAUUAGAUA